AACGAACGCUGGCGGCAUGCCUAACACAUGCAAGUCGAACGAGACCUUCGGGUCUAGUUGCGCACGGGUGCGUAACGCGUGGGAACCUGCCCUUAGGUUCGGAAUAACUCCCCGAAAGGGGUGCUAAUACCGGUUAAUGUCUUCGGACCAAAGAUUUAUCGCCUUUGGAUGGGCCCGCGUUGGAUUAGCUAGUUGGUAGGGUACAAGCCUACCAAGGCGACGAUCCAUAGCUGGUCUGAGAGGAUGAUCAGCCACACUGGGACUGAGACACGGCCCAGACUCCUACGGGAGGCAGCAGUGGGGAAUAUUGUACAAUGGACGAAAGCCUGAUCCAGCAAUGCCGCGUGAGUGAUGAAGGCCUUAGGGUUGUAAAGCUCUUUUACCCGGGAUGAUAAUGACAGUACCGGGAGAAUAAGCUCCGGCUAACUCCGUG
This 433-nucleotide ribosomal RNA is filed under the name uncultured bacterium. Its description in RNAcentral is "partial 16S ribosomal RNA". It matches the Rfam family "Bacterial small subunit ribosomal RNA", at positions 29 to 507 of the family's 1533-position model. The record is from RNAcentral.